This 528-nucleotide ribosomal RNA is filed under the name uncultured bacterium. Its description in RNAcentral is "bacterial SSU rRNA". It matches the Rfam family "Bacterial small subunit ribosomal RNA", at positions 355 to 896 of the family's 1533-position model. The record is from RNAcentral.
UGGGGAAUAUUGGACAAUGGGGGCAACCCUGAUCCAGCAAUUCUGUGUGCACGAAGAAGGUUUUCGGAUUGUAAAGUGCUUUCAGCAGGGAAGAAGAAAGUGACGGUACCUGCAGAAGAAGCGACGGCUAAAUACGUGCCAGCAGCCGCGGUAAUACGUAUGUCGCAAGCGUUANNNNNUCGGAAUUUUGGCAUAAGGGCAUCUAGGCGGCCCUGUAAGUCUAGGGUGAAAACCUGCGGCUCAACCGCAGGCCUGCCCCGGAAACUACAGGGCUAGAGUAUCGGAGAGAGGUGGACGGAACUGCACGAGUAGAGGUGAAAUUCGUAGAUAUGUGCAGGAAUGCCGAUGAUGAAGAUAGUUCACUGGACGGUAACUGACGCUGAAGUGCGAAAGCUAGGGGAGCAAACAGGAUUAGAUACCCUGGUAGUCCUAGCUGUAAACGAUGAUUACUGGGUGUGGGCAUGAAGAGUGUCCGUGCCGAAGCAAAUGCGAUAAGUAAUCCGCCUGGGGAGUACGGCCGCAAGGCUG